GUAUAACUUUAUUAUUAUUGCCAACACAUUCUAAACAAGUUUUGUGAAAACAUAGACCUGGAGAUGCAAGGGCAAAGCCGAAUGGCAGUCCCGACUCGAAAACAGAAAUUUGUGUUCAAACAAGCCCCAGGGUCUACAAGAGGUGCACAGUUGGAGAAAUGAUAAAGAUGACAAGCGUGCACAUGCCCACGAGUGGACCAGCAAACAGCCUGUUCAAGUUUAUUCGAUAAUGAUCCUUCCGCAGGUUCACCUACGGAAA
Molecule: unclassified non-coding RNA, 259 nt
Filed under: uncultured fungus
Lineage: Eukaryota; Fungi
Description: sequence contains ITS1
Source: RNAcentral